GUGAUGGCCUCUCUAUCCAUCGCUCAAGAGUUUGUGGGUCGAACCUGUAUGUCUGUCGCACAAGAGUUUGUGGGUCGAACCCAUAUGUCCUUUGUGCAAGAGUUUGGGGGUUGAACCCCAGUUUCAUCGCUCGAUACAUGCAAUGACCACCAGUUCCAUCGCUCAAUCUUCAUUUUGAGCAAUAAAGAGUUUCCCUCCGUCGCGCAAUGCCUAAUGUCAGGAGAUUUGCGCGACGCUCUCUUCGUCGCCCAAUAUUUCCGGCAACGGUUUUGACCUUUGUGCGACAAUUUCCCUUCGUCGCUCAAGAAGUUGUUCCUAGUAGUGUGGGACAAUGAAAUCCAAAUAUGGAAAAGAGUCAACUUAUUGCCAGAUUUGUACCUUUCUAUUUAAUUUUCUAUCUAUUCCGCCAUCUGAUCUCCAUCAAGAGACAAGUGCCGCUAGCUAGACUACGACCUAGGGCAUCCUGAUACACAAUCAUGUAUUAUAUAUCACUUGAAAAUGGGUUUGAAGGGCAAGAUGAUGAUGAUUAUUAUUGACAAUUAAUUCAUUAGGGAUGAUAACUCAGAAAAUGACACUUAGAGAAUUUGGGGACUAAAUAUAAGAAAUUAUAGUAACAAAAUUUAUAUAUGGAUUUUCACCGUAAGAGAUUAAAAACGUUUCAACUCCAGAUCCCUUCUUAACUUUUAAUCCUUCAACAUUCCAAAUGAUUGUAGACUUAUAGUCCAUGGGGAAGUAUGGAUGGAGAAUCUAUGAGGAUGUGGUUCAUGUGAAGGUAAAAAAGUCCCACAUCGGUGAAGAACAUGUUCAUUUGAAUAACAUCUAUAGCAUGCAUUU
Molecule: long non-coding RNA, 834 nt
Filed under: Malus domestica (apple)
Lineage: Eukaryota; Viridiplantae; Streptophyta; Magnoliopsida; Rosales; Rosaceae
Description: long non-coding RNA (MDOM_LNC015416)
Source: RNAcentral